UUCUUUGCACUCUCUAGACCCUCUCAAGCACACACAAAUUGCAGCUGAGUUCCAGAUUCGAGCAGAUUCAUACCUUCACACAAAAGAACGUUUCCAAUGAAGGACUUGGUGUUCCAACCUCCCAUAACAACAACUCUCUCGCGGAUUCACAAGUGGAAAGCUUGCAAAACCGUUGAGGAUUAUGAUGCUAUGAAACGAAGUAGCAAUGAUGCCUAGAUACACAUUUAGACGAUUUAGGUUUAAAGUGUUGUAUCAAUUUUGUUUGUUAUGUUAUGACAUGUUGUUAUUUGAAUUUUCCUUGUAAUGUUUGACAAUUUGAUUAUGAAAUGAAAAUGGUUAUUUUAAAUAUUGUC
Molecule: long non-coding RNA, 353 nt
Filed under: Helianthus annuus (common sunflower)
Lineage: Eukaryota; Viridiplantae; Streptophyta; Magnoliopsida; Asterales; Asteraceae
Description: hypothetical non coding rna
Source: RNAcentral